GACGAACGCUGGCGGCGUGCUUAACACAUGCAAGUCGAACGGAAAGGCCCUGCUGUUGUGGGGUGCUCGAGUGGCGAACGGGUGAGUAACACGUGAGUAACCUGCCCGUGACUUUGGGAUAACUUCAGGAAACUGGGGCUAAUACCUGAUAGGAGCUCCUGCUUCAUGGUGGGGGUUGGAAAGUUUCGGCGGUUGGGGAUGGACUCGCGGCUUAUCAGCUUGUUGGUGGGGUAGUGGCUUACCAAGGCUUUGACGGGUAGCCGGCCUGAGAGGGUGACCGGCCACAUUGGGCCUGAGGUACGGGCCAGACUCCUACGGGAGGCAGCAGUGGGGAAUAGUGCACAAUGGGCGGAAGCCUGAUGCAGCACCGCCGCGUGCGGGAUGACGGCCUUCGGGUUGUAAACCGCUUUCGCCUGUGACGAAGCGUGAGUGACGGUAAUGGGUAAAGAAGCACCGGCUAACUACGUG
This 468-nucleotide ribosomal RNA is filed under the name uncultured bacterium. Its description in RNAcentral is "partial 16S ribosomal RNA". It matches the Rfam family "Bacterial small subunit ribosomal RNA", at positions 28 to 507 of the family's 1533-position model. The record is from RNAcentral.